Molecule: ribosomal RNA, 168 nt
Filed under: uncultured bacterium
Lineage: Bacteria
Description: partial 16S ribosomal RNA
Rfam family: Bacterial small subunit ribosomal RNA
Source: RNAcentral
CCUACGGGAGGCAGCAGUGGGGAAUAUUGGACAAUGGGCGCAAGCCUGAUCCAGCCAUACCGCGUGGGUGAAGAAGGCCUUCGGGUUGUAAAGCCCUUUAGUUGGGAAGGAAAGGGCAGCCGCUUAAUACUCGGUUGUUAUGACGGUACCCAAAGAAUAAGCACCGGC